Cajanus cajan (pigeon pea) is the source of this 412-nucleotide non-coding RNA. The record is from RefSeq and is a predicted model, not a curated record. Lineage: Eukaryota; Viridiplantae; Streptophyta; Magnoliopsida; Fabales; Fabaceae.
AAGUAAACGACAGAACUUUUUCACUCUGCUUUUAGCUUUAUUUGACCAAUUCCAAUACAUUCCCUGUUACCAUCAUUCAACAGUGAAGAAUAUCUGAUUCUGAACAUUUCUGAACCUCUGAACAAUAUCUGAUUUUGUGGGAAAAGCUUCUCAGUCUUUCAAGGAGAUAAACAACAACGGUACCGACUAAGUGAUUCUCUUCUGGAUCCGGACCGUGCGGAGCUUCUCAUUUUUCUUCUUCUUCUUCGUCUUCCUUCUCGAAGCUCGAAUCUUCAAGCUAAUAACAGGAAUAGGUGGGCAUCCUGGGAUGAGUCUCCGGCAGACCUUGGAGCUGUUUUGCUUGUGUGGAUAUCUUGCUUGUAGCUACUUGGGAUAGUAGCAUUUGAUCGCAACUUUUGUACACUUUAACUCU